GAAUUUUAUAUAGAUUAAUUAUUUUUGGAUAAGUUUGGAUAAGUAAUUAAAUACAUUUAGUUGGGAGGAUUGUUAAAUUAAGGGAACUUUAAUUAAAUAGAUAAUAUAAAUUAAUGGAUUUAAGAAUGGUUAAUAAAUUAAGAAAGAAUUAAUUACCUUAGGGAUAACAGCGUAAUAUUUUUGGAGAGAUCAUAUUAAUAAAAAUGUUU
This 209-nucleotide ribosomal RNA is filed under the name Crematogaster sp. 20.FGSGt. Its description in RNAcentral is "partial large subunit ribosomal RNA". Lineage: Eukaryota; Metazoa; Arthropoda; Insecta; Hymenoptera; Formicidae. The record is from RNAcentral.